RNAcentral lists this unclassified non-coding RNA (395 nucleotides) under soil metagenome. Its description in RNAcentral is "partial contains 5.8S ribosomal RNA, internal transcribed spacer 2, and large subunit ribosomal RNA". The stretch from base 1 to 121 matches the Rfam family "5.8S ribosomal RNA", at positions 35 to 154 of the family's 154-position model. The record is from RNAcentral.
GAUGAAGAACGUAGCGAACGUGCGAAACGUAAUGUGAAUUGCAGAAUUCAGUGAAUCAUCGAAUCUUUGAACGCAUCUUGCGCUCCUUGGUAUUCCGAGGAGCAUGCCUGUUUGAGUGUCGUGAAUACUCUCAACUUCAACCCUUUUUUCGGAAAGGGAGGAAGGUUGGACUUGGGUGUUUGUUGAAGUGCGAGCUUCGACUCAUCCUAAAUGCAUUAGCGAUCUGCCUCGAUCACACACAAUGUGAUAAUUAAAACUAAAGCAUUGUUUAAUGAUCAAGUUGAGACUGCUUCUAACUGUCGCAAGACAAUAACGUGCAUACAUUUGUGCAUGUCAUUUGACCUCAAAUCAGGUAGGACUACCCGCUGAACUUAAGCAUAUCAAUAAGCGGAGGA